UACGAAGGGGGCUAGCGUUGUUCGGAAUUACUGGGCGUAAAGCGUGCGCAGGCGGCUUCUCAAGUCAGGGGUGAAAGCCCAGAGCUUAACUCUGGAAUUGCCUUUGAGACUGAGAGGCUUGAGUACGGGAGAGGUGAGUGGAAUUCCCAGUGUAGAGGUGAAAUUCGUAGAUAUUGGGAAGAACACCGGUGGCGAAGGCGGCUCACUGGCCCGGUACUGACGCUGAGGUGCGAAAGCGUGGGGAGCAAACAGG
RNAcentral lists this ribosomal RNA (253 nucleotides) under uncultured bacterium. Its description in RNAcentral is "partial 16S ribosomal RNA". It matches the Rfam family "Bacterial small subunit ribosomal RNA", at positions 524 to 776 of the family's 1533-position model. The record is from RNAcentral.